UGGGGAAUAUUGCACAAUGGGCGAAAGCCUGAUGCAGCAACGCCGCGUGCGGGAUGACGGCCUUCGGGUUGUAAACCGCUUUCAGCAGGGACGAAGGUUUUCUGAUGGUACCUGCAGAAGAAGCACCGGCUAACUACGUGCCAGCAGCCGCGGUGAUACGUAGGGUGCGAGCGUUGUCCGGAAUUAUUGGGCGUAAAGAGCUUGUAGGCGGUCCGUUGCGUCGGAAGUGAAAACUCAGGGCUUAACCCUGAGCCUGCUUUCGAUACGGGCGGACUUGAGGGAUGUAGGGGAGAACGGAAUUCCUGGUGGAGCGGUGGAAUGCGCAGAUAUCAGGAGGAACACCAGUGGCGAAGGCGGUUCUCUGGACAUUUCCUGACGCUGAGAAGCGAAAGCGUGGGGAGCAAAACAGGCUUAGAUACCCUGGUAGUCCACGCCGUAAACGGUGGGCACUAGGUGUGGGACCCAUUCCACGGGUUCCGUGCCGCAGCUAACGCAUUAAGUGCCCCGCCUGGGGUAGUACGGCCGCAAGGCUAAAAACCUCAAAUGAAUUGACGGGGUCAUAGCUGUUU
RNAcentral lists this ribosomal RNA (569 nucleotides) under uncultured bacterium. Its description in RNAcentral is "partial 16S ribosomal RNA". It matches the Rfam family "Bacterial small subunit ribosomal RNA", at positions 355 to 935 of the family's 1533-position model. The record is from RNAcentral.